UUCAGGGGCCUGGAAGCCCUCAAGUCUCCCACCAAUGCCCCAAACUGCCUAGCAUGAGGUCUGGACUGCUCCACUCACGGGGCUCAAGCUCUUCGUAUUGCUUAAUAAGGAGCCCGGAGAUUAGCAGUGAGCUGCCUGAAGGUUGCAAGGGGAGCAGGUGGUCAGAGGCUGUGGGGCCUGGGAGGCGUGUCCUGUGAUGUUUGCGGGCCUGAGGGAGUGCUCUGACAUUUGGAGUUCAUAGCAUCUGAAUCCGCCAUUCAUAUCUGUGGGACUCAGAUGUGUUACUUCAGCUCUCAGGGGCCCAGUUUUCUCGUGUGCGAUGCACGAACCAUGAAGGCACCUACCUGGGAGGGCCUGGUGAUGAGGCACAACUCUGGCCCGUGAUCAGUGCUCCCGUUUUCCUUCCCGAUUCGUGCCCUUUGGGUAGGUUUUGUUUGGCCACACAGUAUAUUAAAAUAAGAAGGCACUGAAGUUUGAGGAUUAAGAUAUGCUAUAAAAUGAUACAGAUUAUUGGAAUUCCUUUAAAAAGUCACAAGAUCUGGCAGUGCGGGGCCCACAUUCUUGCUUGUUUUUCAACUGGCCGGGCUGUGGAGGGACUGUUUCUGAGACCCUCCAGAUUCCUGAGACCCCCCCCCCCCCCCCCAAGAUCUUUUCUUUCCCCUCUUGUAUCUGACUGGCCCCUUUAGGCUGUUGAAUUUGCAACCUCUCUCUGGAAGAUGUCCCUGUUAAAAAUAAGUGCCUGUGGUCACCUGUCAAUUAUCCCCAUGCGGUUUAUUCACAACACUUAUUUACCUGACUGCUUUUGCUUGCCUUGGGCAUGAUGGAGGUUUUCUUCCCUUUCUUGCAGUGGGUGAAUACUCAGAAGAUGCAAAUUCUUACAAGGAUUAGGCCAUUGUGAAGGCAGCAGUCCUCAACAUUCUACAAGUCUGCUCCGAAGGGGCAGCCGUUGUAAAAGACACAAACAGAGAACCCCAUUUACUUGUCAUCAGGCGGUUACAGAAGAUUCCAUCCCUGAUGUAAAAUACUCUCAUUACCUGCUUUUUCCCCCCCUGUAGCCCCAUUGAGGGAUAGUUUUUGAAUUGUUGCAUCUGAUUCUCUCUUGUUUAGAAGAUGAGGUGAUGACAGUGAACGGGUUAGAGAAGGUAACGCGGAGGUGGGGUGCAUUCACGGAAAACGGCCGGGUCUGCAACUGGGCCUGGCCUGGAUUCACUCUUCUGAGGUCAAGAGGCUGACUGCUGUUUUGACUCUCUUUUAGGGUAAAAAAAAUAAAAAAAACCAAAUCAUGUGGAGCAAACAAACCCUCUGUCGGAAGGACAGCAGGCGGUAUGAACCCCCAACAAGAGUGGACACUUUCUAGAAAAUCCCUUUGGGCCACAGAUGGAAUAAAGGCAGCACUGAAUUC
Long non-coding RNA from Lynx canadensis (Canada lynx), 1402 nucleotides. RefSeq lists it as uncharacterized. The record is from RefSeq and is a predicted model, not a curated record. The transcript is spliced from 2 exons. NCBI's taxonomy places the organism in Eukaryota, Metazoa, Chordata, Mammalia, Carnivora, Felidae.